This 28-nucleotide small RNA is filed under the name Bombyx mori (domestic silkworm). RNAcentral describes it as "ovarian small RNA-25017". Lineage: Eukaryota; Metazoa; Arthropoda; Insecta; Lepidoptera; Bombycidae. The record is from RNAcentral.
UCACAGCUUUCGUUUUCCGUCCAGCCCC